Molecule: ribosomal RNA, 1152 nt
Filed under: Escherichia coli
Lineage: Bacteria; Pseudomonadati; Pseudomonadota; Gammaproteobacteria; Enterobacterales; Enterobacteriaceae
Description: partial 23S ribosomal RNA
Rfam family: Bacterial large subunit ribosomal RNA
Source: RNAcentral
GGUUAAGCGACUAAGCGUACACGGUGGAUGCCCUGGCAGUCAGAGGCGAUGAAGGACGUGCUAAUCUGCGAUAAGCGUCGGUAAGGUGAUAUGAACCGUUAUAACCGGCGAUUUCCGAAUGGGGAAACCCAGUGUGAUUCGUCACACUAUCAUUAACUGAAUCCAUAGGUUAAUGAGGCGAACCGGGGGAACUGAAACAUCUAAGUACCCCGAGGAAAAGAAAUCAACCGAGAUUCCCCCAGUAGCGGCGAGCGAACGGGGAGCAGCCCAGAGCCUGAAUCAGUGUGUGUGUUAGUGGAAGCGUCUGGAAAGGCGCGCGAUACAGGGUGACAGCCCCGUACACAAAAAUGCACAUACUGUGAGCUCGAUGAGUAGGGCGGGACACGUGGUAUCCUGUCUGAAUAUGGGGGGACCAUCCUCCAAGGCUAAAUACUCCUGACUGACCGAUAGUGAACCAGUACCGUGAGGGAAAGGCGAAAAGAACCCCGGCGAGGGGAGUGAAAAAGAACCUGAAACCGUGUACGUACAAGCAGUGGGAGCACGCUUAGGCGUGUGACUGCGUACCUUUUGUAUAAUGGGUCAGCGACUUAUAUUCUGUAGCAAGGUUAACCGAAUAGGGGAGCCGAAGGGAAACCGAGUCUUAACUGGGCGUUAAGUUGCAGGGUAUAGACCCGAAACCCGGUGAUCUAGCCAUGGGCAGGUUGAAGGUUGGGUAACACUAACUGGAGGACCGAACCGACUAAUGUUGAAAAAUUAGCGGAUGACUUGUGGCUGGGGGUGAAAGGCCAAUCAAACCGGGAGAUAGCUGGUUCUCCCCGAAAGCUAUUUAGGUAGCGCCUCGUGAAUUCAUCUCCGGGGGUAGAGCACUGUUUCGGCAAGGGGGUCAUCCCGACUUACCAACCCGAUGCAAACUGCGAAUACCGGAGAAUGUUAUCACGGGAGACACACGGCGGGUGCUAACGUCCGUCGUGAAGAGGGAAACAACCCAGACCGCCAGCUAAGGUCCCAAAGUCAUGGUUAAGUGGGAAACGAUGUGGGAAGGCCCAGACAGCCAGGAUGUUGGCUUAGAAGCAGCCAUCAUUUAAAGAAAGCGUAAUAGCUCACUGGUCGAGUCGGCCUGCGCGGAAGAUGUAACGGGGCUAAACCAUGCAC